UGAGGGAUAUUGGUCAAUGGGGGAAACCCUGAACCAGCAACGCCGCGUGAGGGAAGACGGUUUUCGGAUUGUAAACCUCUGUCCUCUGUGAAGAUAAUGACGGUAGCAGAGGAGGAAGCUCCGGCUAACUACGUGCCAGCAGCCGCGGUAAUACGUAGGGAGCAAGCGUUGUCCGGAUUUACUGGGUGUAAAGGGUGCGUAGGCGGCCCUGCAAGUCAGAAGUGAAAUCCAUGGGCUUAACCCGUGAACUGCUUUUGAAACUGUAGGGCUUGAGUGAAGUAGAGGCAGGCGGAAUUCCCGGUGUAGCGGUGAAAUGCGUAGAGAUCGGGAGGAACACCAGUGGCGAAGGCGGCCUGCUGGGCUUUAACUGACGCUGAAGCACGAAAGCGUGGGUAGCAAACAGG
This 404-nucleotide ribosomal RNA is filed under the name uncultured bacterium. Its description in RNAcentral is "bacterial SSU rRNA". It matches the Rfam family "Bacterial small subunit ribosomal RNA", at positions 355 to 776 of the family's 1533-position model. The record is from RNAcentral.